GCACUACUGAGGAGUCCCACAAUAGGACAAAACGGCCGUCCAGUGC
This is a non-coding RNA of Schistosoma mattheei, 46 nucleotides long. Lineage: Eukaryota; Metazoa; Platyhelminthes; Trematoda; Strigeidida; Schistosomatidae. The record is from Rfam.